RNAcentral lists this long non-coding RNA (841 nucleotides) under Malus domestica (apple). Its description in RNAcentral is "long non-coding RNA (MDOM_LNC005362)". The record is from RNAcentral. Lineage: Eukaryota; Viridiplantae; Streptophyta; Magnoliopsida; Rosales; Rosaceae.
GUAGUUAUCAACAGGUGCAAAGUUCGAACCAGAGAAGAUGUGAACCCCACCCCGGAGGAAAGCAACAGCAAUCUCACCACCAUGAGCAGAAUAGACUAUUUGAGCGAGUGUUCUAACAUCACUUGACAGGUCAAAAGGAUCAAAACUGACUCGUUUUACUUUCUCUAUGCCAGAAUCAGGAGUCUUCCUUGCAUCUGUGGUUGCUGUUGUCGCUGCUGCUUGGUGACUUUUAAAAUCAUUAGUUGGUUGUAUGCUUGUGUCCACUUUGGAUAGCCAAACAGUUUGCAUUGGUGCCUGCCCACCAAAACUGGAAGUAGGAUUUCCAAAUAUUUGGUGAAGAACAACAGGCUGAAGUGAUGAUUCCCAGCGUUGCACUCUCCAUCCUGUAAUUGAUGGACCCUCAUCUGGAUCACAAGGAGACAUGUAUUGUCCUGCACUCAUGAUUCAAUUCAUGCAACUACUAUAGUUCAGACGUAUUUCUAUGAAAACUUAGUUUCUUAUCAGGAAAAAAAAAAAGGGUUGUCAUUACCUAGCAGGCCAGAUAGAAUAAAACUCCGAUAUUACACCAGAAUCAAAGGUAAGGUAAAGAUAAACAAAAAAGGUCGUACCCAGUGCACAAGGCUCCCGCUUUACGCAGGGUCUGGGAGAGGUGAAUGUCGGCUAGCCUUACCCCCAUUUAUGAAGAGGCUGCUCCCAAAUAAACAAAUAAACAAAUAAACAAAUAUUGUACGGAAACGAGAAAUGAUGACACACUUGUUCAGAAACGAUUUAGACUCUAACAAACCAACUUUCAGAGAUUUUUUUUUUGGGAAAAUGUACAUCUGGAUUAGAAAAGACAAAC